This 588-nucleotide ribosomal RNA is filed under the name Triticum aestivum (bread wheat). RNAcentral describes it as "partial small subunit ribosomal RNA". The record is from RNAcentral. Lineage: Eukaryota; Viridiplantae; Streptophyta; Magnoliopsida; Poales; Poaceae.
GGCCCUGAUAUCUAUGAGGGUUCACCCACCCCGGUGAUAGCAUUCCUUUCUAUUGCGCCUAAAAACUCUAUUUCUGCAAAUAUGUCACGUGUUUCUAUUGUUGCUUCCUAUGGGGGUACAUUACAACAAAUCUUCUUUUUCUGGAGCAUUGCUUCUAUGAUCUUAGGAGCACUGGCCGCCAUGGCCCAAACGAAAGUCAAAAGACCUCUAGCUCAUAGUUCGAUUGGACAUGUAGGUUAUAUUCGCACUGGUUUCUCAAGUGGAACCAUAGAAGGAAUUCAAUCACUACUAAUUGGUAUAUUUAUUUAUGCAUCAAUGACGAUAGAUCCAUUCGCCAUAGUUCCAGCAUUACGGCAAACCCGUAUCAAAUAUAUAGCAGAUUUGGGCACUCUAGCCAAAACGAAUCCUAUUUCGGCUAUGACCUUCUCCAUUACAAUGUUCUCAUACACAGGAAUACCCUCGUUAGCCGGCUUUUGUAGAAAAUUCUAUUUGUUCUUCGCCGCUUUGGGUUGUGGGGCUUACUUCCUAGCCCCAGUGGGAGUAGUGACUAGCAUUAUAGGUCGUUGGGCGGCCGGAAGGUUGCCAUGA